Molecule: ribosomal RNA, 261 nt
Filed under: uncultured prokaryote
Description: partial 16S ribosomal RNA
Rfam family: Bacterial small subunit ribosomal RNA
Source: RNAcentral
UACGGAGGAUCCGAGCGUUAUCCGGAUUUAUUGGGUUUAAAGGGUGCGCAGGCGGGAGAUUAAGUCGGCGGUGAAAUUUUGCAGCUUAACUGUAAAAGUGCCAUCGAUACUGGUUUCCUUGAGUGUAGAUGAAGUAGGCGGAAUUUGUGGUGUAGCGGUGAAAUGCAUAGAUAUCACGAGGAACUCCGAUUGCGCAGGCAGCUUACUAAACUACUACUGACGCUCAUGCACGAAGGCGUGGGGAUCAAACAGGAUUAGAUA